This is a long non-coding RNA of Homo sapiens (human), 335 nucleotides long. Ensembl annotates it as RC3H1 divergent transcript. Its record names the gene RC3H1-DT. NCBI's taxonomy places the organism in Eukaryota, Metazoa, Chordata, Mammalia, Primates, Hominidae. The record is from Ensembl.
GGAGACCGGCGACGCUCUCCGCCGCGACCGAAAGUCUCACACGCCCUGAGCAGAUGAACCGGUCCCUCGGUCCGGUCUGCCCUCCCGCACCGGCGCCUUUGGGCUCAGCGGGCCAGUGGCCAGAUGGCGAGAGUUCUGGAUCUCAUCAGCUUUGUCCUCGUCACCCCUCUGGGAGUUCAGCCUCCUAAGGCUGUGAAACAGCCCAAAAGGCCCGGACACGCUACUCCAAAACGUCUCUCCUGGGCUGUGUGAACAAUAAGAGCUAUUUGGGGACGACAGGAAAAGAUAUGGCCCAUAGAAGGGCUCCUGAAAUCUAACCUUGCGACUCUUUAAAA